This is a long non-coding RNA of Xenia sp. Carnegie-2017, 248 nucleotides long. RefSeq lists it as uncharacterized. The transcript has 2 exons. The record is from RefSeq and is a predicted model, not a curated record. NCBI's taxonomy places the organism in Eukaryota, Metazoa, Cnidaria, Anthozoa, Malacalcyonacea, Xeniidae.
AAGAAAAUGAUGAAAACAUCUCAAAGAAAUAUGAACAGAAUGGGCAAAGCUGGUGAGUCCGACCGUCAUAUUGGAAGCAAAAAGCCCAAACAUAUGUUCGCUGGAAAACGAAAAGGUGGAAAAACUCAGAGAAGAUAAAGUCGUUAUUUUAAUUUUUUACUUUAAAAGUAAUUUAUUAACCAAACGCAAUUCUGAAUGCAAUGAAAGUUUUUCAAUGAAACGUAAUUAUAUAUUAUUAACUGCUUGCA